GUCUCCGGCCACACCACUCUGAACGCGCCCGAUCUCGUCUGAUCUCGGAAGCUAAGCAGGGUCGGGCCUGGUUAGUACUUGGAUGGGAGACCACCUGGGAAUAACCGGGUGCUGUAGGCU
This 120-nucleotide ribosomal RNA is filed under the name Bos indicus x Bos taurus (hybrid cattle). Lineage: Eukaryota; Metazoa; Chordata; Mammalia; Artiodactyla; Bovidae. The record is from RNAcentral.